Molecule: transfer RNA, 76 nt
Filed under: Lachnospiraceae bacterium
Lineage: Bacteria; Bacillati; Bacillota; Clostridia; Lachnospirales; Lachnospiraceae
Description: tRNA-Met
Rfam family: tRNA
About the family: Transfer RNA (tRNA) molecules are approximately 80 nucleotides in length. Their secondary structure includes four short double-helical elements and three loops (D, anti-codon, and T loops).
Source: RNAcentral
CGCGGAGUAGAGCAGCUGGUCGCUCGUCGGGCGCAUAACCCGGAGGUCGUUGGUUCAAAUCCUUCCUCCGCAACCA